Molecule: ribosomal RNA, 119 nt
Filed under: Triticum aestivum (bread wheat)
Lineage: Eukaryota; Viridiplantae; Streptophyta; Magnoliopsida; Poales; Poaceae
Also listed under: 1 other name
Source: RNAcentral
GGAUGCGAUCAUACCAGCACUAAAGCACCGGAUCCCAUCAGAACUCCGUAGUUAAGCGUGCUUGGGCGAGAGUAGUACUAGGAUGGGUGACCUCCUGGGAAGUCCUCGUGUUGCACUCC